ACAAGCGGUGGAGUAUGUGGUUUAAUUCGACGCAACGCGCAGAACCUUACCUAGACUUGACAUCCCGGGGAUUUCUGGAAACAGAGAAGUGCUUUAGCAAUAAGAACCCGGUGACAGGUGCUGCAUGGCUGUCGUCAGCUCGUGUCGUGAGAUGUUGGGUUAAGUCCCGCAACGAGCGCAACCCUUAUCAUUAGUUGCUAACAUUCAGUUGAGAACUCUAAUGAGACUGCCAGUGAUAAACUGGAGGAAGGUGGGAUGACGUCAAAUCAUCAUGCCCCUUAUGACCUGGGCUACACACGUGCUACAAUGGCCGGUACAAAGAGUUGCGAAACUGUGAAGUUAAGCUAAUCUCAUAAAGCCGGUCUCAGUUCGGAUUGUAGUCUGCAACUCGACUACAUGAAGUCGGAAUCGCUAGUAAUCGCGAAUCAGAAUGUCGCGGUGAAUACGUUCUCGAGUCUU
This 459-nucleotide ribosomal RNA is filed under the name uncultured Syntrophus sp. Its description in RNAcentral is "bacterial SSU rRNA". It matches the Rfam family "Bacterial small subunit ribosomal RNA", at positions 925 to 1382 of the family's 1533-position model. The record is from RNAcentral. Lineage: Bacteria; Pseudomonadati; Thermodesulfobacteriota; Syntrophia; Syntrophales; Syntrophaceae.